Molecule: signal recognition particle RNA, 97 nt
Filed under: Gammaproteobacteria bacterium
Lineage: Bacteria; Pseudomonadati; Pseudomonadota; Gammaproteobacteria
Description: signal recognition particle sRNA small type
Rfam family: Bacterial small signal recognition particle RNA
About the family: The signal recognition particle (SRP) is a universally conserved ribonucleoprotein involved in the co-translational targeting of proteins to membranes. Archaeal SRP consists of a 7S RNA and homologues of the eukaryotic SRP19 and SRP54 proteins.
Source: RNAcentral
CAGUGGCCCCCUCACGACGAUAAGCUGUGAACCCCGUCAGGUCCGGAAGGAAGCAGCGGUAGCGGUGAUUUCGGGCGUCGAGGUGUGGCUACGGACU